GAAAGUAAGCAAGGGCAGACGGUGGAUGCCUUGGCUCUCGGAGGCGACGAAGGACGUGAUAAGCUGCGAAAAGCCCGGGGGAGGCGCAAAUAGCCCUUGAUCCCGGGAUAUCCGAAUGGGGCAACCCGGCAGGUUGAAGGCCUGUCAUCCCGUAAGGGAGGCGAACGUGGGGAACUGAAACAUCUAAGUACCCAUAGGAGGAGAAAAUAAACAAUGAUUCCGUAAGUAGUGGCGAGCGAACACGGAAGAGCCCAAACCCAUGUCGUCUAGGCGACACGGGGGUUGUAGGACCACGACGUGGCAAGAUAGAGUCAAGUGGAACGCCUUGGAAAGGGCGACCGUAGAGGGUGAUAGUCCCGUACACGACUGACGAUUGAAGCCUAGUGGUAUCCUGAGUAGCGCGGGGCACGAGAAAUCUUGCGUGAAACAGCGGGGCCCAUCCCGUAAGGCUAAAUACUCCCGAGAGACCGAUAGCGAACCAGUACCGUGAGGGAAAGGUGAAAAGAACCCCGAGCAGGGGAGUGAAAUAGACCCUGAACCCGUCUGCCUACAAGCGGUCGGAGCGUCGUAAUGACGUGACGGCGUGCCUUUUGCAUAAUGAACCUACGAGUUACCUUCCCCGGCAAGGUUAAGUUCUUGAGGAACGGAGCCGAAGCGAAAGCGAGUCUGAACAGGGCGCCAAGUCGGGGGGGGUAGACGCGAAACCGAGUGAUCUACCCUUGGCCAGGUUGAAGGUUGGGUAACACCAACUGGAGGACCGGAUGGGUAAGCGUUGAAAAGCUUUCCAAUGAGCUGAGGGUAGGGGUGAAAGGCUAAUCAAACUCGGAGAUAGCUCGUACUCCCCGAAAUGCAUUUAGGUGCAGCCUCUUUAUAGUAUAUCGUGAGGUAGAGCGACUGAUUGGAUGCGAGGGCUUCACCGCCUAUCAAGUCCAGAUAAACUCCGAAUGCGCGAUAUAUAUUUACAGGGAGUGAGGGCGCGGGUGCUAAGGUCCGUGUCCGAGAGGAGAAGAAUCCAGACCACCGGCUAAGGCCCCCAAAUGAUCGUUAAGUUGAACUAACGAGGUCGGAUCGCAGAGACAGCUAGGAUGUUGGCUUGGAAGCAGCCAUUCAUUUAAAGAGUGCGUAACAGCUCACUAGUCGAGCGAUCUGGCGUGGAUAAUAAUCGGGCAUAAACGAUCUGCCGAAGCCGUGGAUGUCGCAAGACAUGGUAGGGGAGCAUUCCAUGCCGCGUCGAAGAUGAGGGAUGACCCUUGUUGGAGCGCAUGGAAAAGCAAAUGUAGGUAUGAGUAACGAUAAGGGGGGCGAGAAACCCCCCCGCCGAAAGACCAAGGUUUCCUGAUCAACGCUAAUCGGAUCAGGGUGAGUCGGGACCUAAGGCAAAGCCGAACGGCGCCGCCGAUGGAAGAAUGGGUUAAUAUUCCCAUACUGCCUCAUGGAGUGACGUGGAGACGGAGAAGUGACAGUCCUGCCGGCUGACGGAAUAGCCGGUUGAAGGGUGUAGAUAUUGAUUCCCGUAGGCAAAUCCGCGGGGAGAGUCGAACCUGAGAGUAUACGGAGCGCUUGCGCAACGUAAUAUGGACGUAACCAUGCUCCCGAGAAAAUCCGCUAAACUUAUCCAUGCGGCACCCGUACCGUAAACGGACACACGUGGUCGGGUUGAGAAUACUGAGGCGCUCGAGUGAUUCACGGUUAAGGAACUAGGCAAAUUGACCCUGUAACUUCGGGAUAAAGGGUCCUCGUCGUAAGGCGAGGCGCAGAGAAUAGGUCCAGGCAACUGUUUAACAAAAACACAUGGCUGUGCGAAAUGGAAACAUGAGGUAUACAGCCUGACACCUGCCCGGUGCCGGAAGGUUAAGAGGAGAUGUCAUCCGCGAGGAGAAGCGUUGAAUUGAAGCCCCGGUAAACGGCGGCCGUAACUAUAACGGUCCUAAGGUAGCGAAAUUCCUUGUCGGGUAAGUUC
Molecule: ribosomal RNA, 1960 nt
Filed under: human gut metagenome
Description: bacterial LSU rRNA
Rfam family: Bacterial large subunit ribosomal RNA
Source: RNAcentral